This is a long non-coding RNA of Diospyros lotus (date-plum), 261 nucleotides long. RefSeq lists it as uncharacterized. The transcript has 3 exons. NCBI's taxonomy places the organism in Eukaryota, Viridiplantae, Streptophyta, Magnoliopsida, Ericales, Ebenaceae. The record is from RefSeq and is a predicted model, not a curated record.
UCAUUUAAGAUACUAGAAUAUAAUUUAGCAUGUAUUUUCACAAGUACAAACGUACCUCAAUUAACACCAUAAGGUCAUAUCCAAAACAAUUCAUAGUGAUGAGCAAAAGAUGAUUUCUUCUUCAAGGCUUUAAUAAUCAGAAAACAGAAAUAAUCAAUAUUGAAUCGCAUAUGUAAUCAAGGCAAACAGUCAAGGUUGAAAACCAUUUCAACAAAGACAUUUAAAUUUAAAGAGAUAUGAGAUUAGAAUAUAUUACCUGGG